AAAACGACUCUCGGCAACGGAUAUCUCGGCUCUCGCAUCGAUGAAGAACGUAGCGAAAUGCGAUACUUGGUGUGAAUUGCAGAAUCCCGUGAACCAUCGAGUCUUUGAACGCAAGUUGCGCCCCAAGCCUUCUGGCCGAGGGCACGUCUGCCUGGGUGUCACAAAU
RNAcentral lists this ribosomal RNA (166 nucleotides) under Leiocarpaea cochlearioides. Its description in RNAcentral is "5.8S ribosomal RNA". It matches the Rfam family "5.8S ribosomal RNA". Rfam says of the family: 5.8S ribosomal RNA (5.8S rRNA) is a component of the large subunit of the eukaryotic ribosome. The record is from RNAcentral. Lineage: Eukaryota; Viridiplantae; Streptophyta; Magnoliopsida; Brassicales; Brassicaceae.